RNAcentral lists this ribosomal RNA (1292 nucleotides) under Isoperla bilineata. RNAcentral's name for it is "large subunit ribosomal RNA". The stretch from base 854 to 1217 matches the Rfam family "Bacterial large subunit ribosomal RNA", at positions 2073 to 2647 of the family's 2925-position model. The record is from RNAcentral. Lineage: Eukaryota; Metazoa; Arthropoda; Insecta; Plecoptera; Perlodidae.
AAUUUUGUUAAUAAAAUCAUUUUUUAAGUAAUAAGUUUUUGUAUAGGUUAUAGAUAAAAUUUUAUUAGUGGUAGUUUAAUUGUAUUGUGAAAGAUGAUUGAAAUAUUUGAAAAUUUAUCUUUUGAAAAGUAGGUUUAAUUUACCGUACCUUGUGUAUCAGGGUUUAUCAAAAAGUUUGUAAUGAUUUACAUGUCCCGAUUUAAAGAGAGCUAAGUAUUUUUGUUAGUUAAUGUAGAAUAAUUAUUAAUUAAAAAUAUUUAGAAAUGAAACGUUAUCCGUUCUUUAAGAUAUCUGGUUUUUCAAGAAAUGAAUUUAAUUCAGUUAUUAGAUUUUAUUGGGUUGAUUAAUUAAUUUGAUAUAAUCUAAUAAAAAUAUUUAGGGGGAUAAGCUUCUAAGUAUAAAUUUAUAAAGUUUAAUUUUAAUUAAUAUUUUGUAGGCUUAGAAUUAGCCAUCAAUUAGAGGAUGUUAUAAUUUAUUUUUGAUUAAAUAUGAUUUUGUAAAAUAUUUAAAUUUUUUAUUGAAAUGUAAUUUUGAAUUAAUUAAAGUUAGUAAUAAUGAUGAAAUUAGUAUAAUAUGUUGUUAGUAUUUAUUUAAAUGUUAGGUUACAUUAAGGAAUUCGGCAAAUUAAUGCUCGCCUGUUUAACAAAAACAUGUCCUCAUGAAAAUAAUUUGAGGUCUGACCUGCCCACUGAAUUGUUAGGAUUUGAAGGGCCGCGGUAUUUUGACCGUGCAAAGGUAGCAUAAUCAUUAGUCUUUUAAUUGGAGGCUGGAAUGAAUGGUUGGACGAGGCAUUGACUGUCUCAAUGUAAAUGUUAUUAGAAUUUAACUUUUAGGUCAAAAGGCUUAAAUAUAUUUAAAGGACGAGAAGACCCUAUAGAGCUUUAUAUUGAAUGAUUAUUUUUAAUUUAGAUGAUUUUUAGAGAUAGUUAAUAAAAUAUUUUGUUGGGGUGACAGGAAGAUAAAAUAAACUCUUUUUAAUUUUAAACAUUAAUUUAUGAUUGGUUGAUCCAUUAUUAGUGAUUAUAAGACUAAGUUACCUUAGGGAUAACAGCGUAAUCUUUUUUGAGAGUUCAUAUCGACAAAAAGGGUUGCGACCUCGAUGUUGGAUUAAGGGUAAUUUUGGGUGUAGAUGUUCAAAGUUUAGGUCUGUUCGACCUUUAGAUCCUUACAUGAUCUGAGUUCAGACCGGCGUAAGCCAGGUCGGUUUCUAUCCUUAAUUAAUAAUGAUAUUUUAGUACGAAAGGACCAAAUAUUGGGAAUAAUAUUUCUUUAUAAAUUGAUUGAUAGUAAUG